This 148-nucleotide signal recognition particle RNA is filed under the name Gorilla gorilla gorilla (western lowland gorilla). Its description in RNAcentral is "Metazoan signal recognition particle RNA". It matches the Rfam family "Metazoan signal recognition particle RNA". Rfam says of the family: The signal recognition particle (SRP) is a universally conserved ribonucleoprotein. It is involved in the co-translational targeting of proteins to membranes. Lineage: Eukaryota; Metazoa; Chordata; Mammalia; Primates; Hominidae. The record is from Rfam by way of RNAcentral.
GCCGGGCGUGGUGGCGCAUGCCUGUAAUCCCAGCUACUCGGGAGGCUGAGGCAGGAGAAUCACUUGAACCCGGGGGGCUGGGGUUGCAGUGAGCCAAGAUCACGCCACUGCACUCCAGCCCAGGCAACAGAGCAAGACUCUGCCUCAA